This is an RNA transcript of Helianthus annuus (common sunflower), 792 nucleotides long. RefSeq lists it as uncharacterized. The record is from RefSeq and is a predicted model, not a curated record. The transcript has 3 exons. Lineage: Eukaryota; Viridiplantae; Streptophyta; Magnoliopsida; Asterales; Asteraceae.
UUUCAUUCAUCAGAAAUUUUCUUUUAGUUUAUUCCAAUUGUAUAUCGAUUUCCCAAUAAAAAUCAUUUCUUACAUUUCAAAAUCAUCUUCUUUUCUUUUUAACUUUUGCCACUUGCCUCAACCUUUUGAGAGAUCUGUUGUCUGUUCUUAACAUGAAACCCAGAUCUUUGGCCAUUGUGUCAAGAUCGGGUCAUAACAUGUUGAUAGUUCAUAGGGUUUCUUUCUACUUCCUUGUUACCUGCAACUUUAUGGACUGUUUGUUUAUAAUCGGUUUUCACCUAAAGAUUCAAUCAUACGAAAUAAAAACAAAACAUCCUUUCAAAUUUCGGAAAAAAAUAAAAGUCAUACCAGUCACGCCACUGGCCAUCAACCUCGCCUUACAGAGCUUCUGUUCAUACUCAGUCUCCAAAACUUGAGAUGGUUGACUCUCUGUUUAAGAGGGUUUCCGACACUGAGGAUGAAGGCAUAAUGAAAGGUACCAGAUAAGCACUACUGCAAUCUCUGUUGUUGCUCCUAUUUGCUAUGCCCAUUUGGCAGCCACACAGAUGUCUCAGUUUAUGAAGUUGGAGGGUCGCCCUGAGAGAUCUUCGAGCCAUGGGGGUACGGGUGUUACAUCGGCUGGAGCAGUGCCGGUUCCUCAGUUGCCCAAACUGCAGGAAAAUGUUUGCAACUCGAUGUUUGUACUUCACAUGUCCAUUAUUACGAAAAAGCCUAAACCACCUAACUCACCCUCACGGACACCCUUCAGAAACCUAAAUCCACUCUCCAUCAAAAGCCUAAACCCCCACCCCC